This 392-nucleotide ribosomal RNA is filed under the name uncultured organism. RNAcentral describes it as "bacterial SSU rRNA". It matches the Rfam family "Bacterial small subunit ribosomal RNA", at positions 45 to 433 of the family's 1533-position model. The record is from RNAcentral.
GGCCUAACACAUGCAAGUCGAGCGGUAGCACAGAGGAGCUUGCUCCUUGGGUGACGAGCGGCGGACGGGUGAGUAAAGUCUGGGGAUCUGCCUGAUGGAGGGGGAUAACUACUGGAAACGGUAGCUAAUACCGCAUGACGUCGCAAGACCAAAGCGGGGGACUUUCGGGCCUCGCGCCAUCAGAUGAACCCAGAUGGGAUUAGCUAGUAGGUGGGGUAAAGGCUCACCUAGGCGACGAUCUCUAGCUGGUCUGAGAGGAUGACCAGCCACACUGGGACUGAGACACGGCCCAGACUCCUACGGGAGGCAGCAGUGGGGAAUAUUGCACAAUGGGGGGAACCCUGAUGCAGCCAUGCCGCGUGUGUGAAGAAGGCCUUAGGGUUGUAAAGCAC